This 868-nucleotide ribosomal RNA is filed under the name uncultured bacterium. RNAcentral describes it as "bacterial SSU rRNA". It matches the Rfam family "Bacterial small subunit ribosomal RNA", at positions 28 to 843 of the family's 1533-position model. The record is from RNAcentral.
GACGAACGCUGGCGGCGUGCCUAAUACAUGCAAGUCGAGCGAAGUUUUUCUGGUGCUUGCACUAGAAAAACUUAGCGGCGAACGGGUGAGUAACACGUAAAGAACCUGCCUCAUAGACGGGGACAACUAUUGGAAACGAUAGCUAAUACCGGAUAACAACAUAAAUCGCAUGAUAUAUGUUUAAAAGUUGGUUUCGGCUAACACUAUGAGAUGGCUUUGCGGUGCAUUAGCUAGUUGGUGGGGUAAAGGCCUACCAAGGCGACGAUGCAUAGCCGACCUGAGAGGGUGAUCGGCCACACUGGGACUGAGACACGGCCCAGACUCCUACGGGAGGCAGCAGUAGGGAAUCUUCCGCAAUGGGCGAAAGCCUGACGGAGCAACGCCGCGUGAGUGAAGAAGGAUUUCGGUUCGUAAAGCUCUGUUGUUAGGGAAGAAUGAUUGUGUAGUAACUAUACACAGUAGAGACGGUACCUAACCAGAAAGCCACGGCUAACUACGUGCCAGCAGCCGCGGUAAUACGUAGGUGGCAAGCGUUGUCCGGAAUUAUUGGGCGUAAAGCGCGCGCAGGUGGUUUAAUAAGUCUGAUGUGAAAGCCCACGGCUCAACCGUGGAGGGUCAUUGGAAACUGUUAAACUUGAGUGCAGGAGAGAAAAGUGGAAUUCCUAGUGUAGCGGUGAAAUGCUUAAGAUUAGGAGGAACCCCCUUGGCGAAAGCGGCUUUUUGGCCUGGACUGACAUGGCGUGCGAAGCGUGUGUAUCCACAUGACAAAUACUCUGGUUGUUCUAUGUCCAAUUUUUACUUGGACUCUAGGCUUAGCGCACCUCGACCGCGGGGUGUGUGUCGUUCUUUAAAAUUUUUCCUUAGUGAG